AAAUUGAAGAGUUUGAUCAUGGCUCAGAUUGAACGCUGGCGGCAGGCGUAACACAUGCAAGUCGAACGGUAACAGGAAGCAGCUUGCUGCUUUGCUGACGAGUGGCGGACGGGUGAGUAAUGUCUGGGAAACUGCCUGAUGGAGGGGGAUAACUACUGGAAACGGUGGCUAAUACCGCAUAACGUCGCAAGACCAAAGAGGGGGACCUUCGGGCCUCUUGCCAUCAGAUGUGCCCAGAUGGGAUUAGCUAGUUGGUGAGGUAACGGCUCACCAAGGCGACGAUCCCUAGCUGGUCUGAGAGGAUGACCAGCCACACUGGAACUGAGACACGGUCCAGACUCCUACGGGAGGCAGCAGUGGGGAAUAUUGCACAAUGGGCGCAAGCCUGAUGCAGCCAUGCCGCGUGUAUGAAGAAGGCCUUCGGGUUGUAAAGUACUUUCAGCGGGGAGGAAGGUGUUGUGGUUAAUAACCGCAGCAAUUGACGUUACCCGCAGAAGAAGCACCGGCUAACUCCGUGCCAGCAGCCGCGGUAAUACGGAGGGUGCAAGCGUUAAUCGGAAUUACUGGGCGUAAAGCGCACGCAGGCGGUCUGUCAAGUCGGAUGUGAAAUCCCCGGGCUCAACCUGGGAACUGCAUUCGAAACUGGCAGGCUUGAGUCUUGUAGAGGGGGGUAGAAUUCCAGGUGUAGCGGUGAAAUGCGUAGAGAUCUGGAGGAAUACCGGUGGCGAAGGCGGCCCCCUGGACAAAGACUGACGCUCAGGUGCGAAAGCGUGGGGAGCAAACAGGAUUAGAUACCCUGGUAGUCCACGCCGUAAACGAUGUCUACUUGGAGGUUGUGCCCUUGAGGCGUGGCUUCCGGAGCUAACGCGUUAAGUAGACCGCCUGGGGAGUACGGCCGCAAGGUUAAAACUCAAAUGAAUUGACGGGGGCCCGCACAAGCGGUGGAGCAUGUGGUUUAAUUCGAUGCAACGCGAAGAACCUUACCUGGUCUUGACAUCCACAGAACUUUCCAGAGAUGGAUUGGUGCCUUCGGGAACUGUGAGACAGGUGCUGCAUGGCUGUCGUCAGCUCGUGUUGUGAAAUGUUGGGUUAAGUCCCGCAACGAGCGCAACCCUUAUCCUUUGUUGCCAGCGGUUAGGCCGGGAACUCAAAGGAGACUGCCAGUGAUAAACUGGAGGAAGGUGGGGAUGACGUCAAGUCAUCAUGGCCCUUACGACCAGGGCUACACACGUGCUACAAUGGCGCAUACAAAGAGAAGCGACCUCGCGAGAGCAAGCGGACCUCAUAAAGUGCGUCGUAGUCCGGAUUGGAGUCUGCAACUCGACUCCAUGAAGUCGGAAUCGCUAGUAAUCGUGGAUCAGAAUGCCACGGUGAAUACGUUCCCGGGCCUUGUACACACCGCCCGUCACACCAUGGGAGUGGGUUGCAAAAGAAGUAGGUAGCUUAACCUUCGGGAGGGCGCUUACCACUUUGUGAUUCAUGACUGGGGUGAAGUCGUAACAAGGUAACCGUAGGGGAACCUGCGGUUGGAUCACCUCCUUACCUUAAAGAAGC
RNAcentral lists this ribosomal RNA (1554 nucleotides) under Salmonella enterica subsp. enterica serovar Anatum. Its description in RNAcentral is "bacterial SSU rRNA". It matches the Rfam family "Bacterial small subunit ribosomal RNA". The record is from RNAcentral. Lineage: Bacteria; Pseudomonadati; Pseudomonadota; Gammaproteobacteria; Enterobacterales; Enterobacteriaceae.